GUCCCGCAGUUUAAUCCCAUGAAUCAGGAGGCAAGUCCUGAACAAGCAAAUUGAAAAAAUAAAGUACAGUUUCUUUUAAUAGUUGUUAUUCUAACAGAUUUUAUUUAGUUCUGUUUAAUGAAGUUCUUUGUGCUACCCAACCAAUAGCUCAUAUACACAUUGUUUUACUAAAGUAAACAUAAAGAAUAGAAUACCAUCCCCAAAAGAAAUCUUUAUUGCAGAUUUCCUUGCAGAAAUUUGUCCUGUUAAUUGCUGCAUACUGGGAAUAUGUAUUAACUCUGUGUGUGUGUUUGUGGUGGGGGGAGGGAGAUAGUAAAAUUGAUUUUAUUACUGCAUUCUGAAGAUAUUUUGGUGUUAAUUGGGGUUACUCUGUUUGUAAACAGUGCUUCUUGGGAAAAUUGUGGGAUUAAUGGUCUAUGGUCUGGUAGUGUAGUUUUGUCUUUUCUCAGAUCCAGCCCUGCAGAGUGUUAACACCUUUCCUAGGAGGUUUGGAUAAGUGAAAUUAUAUGGAUAUAGAAUUUCUUUCGGUGCAAAUGAAUGAGGAAAAGAGGCAAUCGAGAUUCUAGUCCAGGGAGGACAUUUGGAUAGAGGGGGAAUUAUUUGAAUGAAGGAAAACUGGAGUCCAAACUUCAUUGAUUCAGUGAGCAGGAAUCUGAUGUUCUGAUAUUGGUAUUAGAAUUAAACAUACAUUAUGCCAUCUAUUUAUUUAACACUUCAAACUUACCCUGUAGGAAAGAUGCAUAUAGAUCUUACUAUGACUCACUUUAAUAACACAUGAUAAUCAAGUAUAAUGCCAUUUGUUUCUCCCAAUAAAGGUAAAAAAUCAAUACUAAAAUGAAGACUUGCAUUAUAAGGUCUUUGGGGCCCUGAAAAAAGACUUUCACCAGGGCUUUCCAAGACAGCCAUGUAUGAAGAAACCAUGAAAUGGGUGGUAGUGGUGGGAUGUCAGGGGGAUAAGAUCAGGGGUCCUAUUACUGAGCCCAGGGAGAAGCCUGGACAGAGUGGGGAAACAGAACUGCAAUAGGGGUGAUUGUAAUAGUCACUUGUUGAUAAAUACCUACUUUAAAGCAGCAUGUGCCAGACACGGUGCUAGGCUCCCUACCUGUACCACAUGAGAUAAAGACAUUCUUGCAAAGUAGUUCCGGCUUUCAUUUUAAAGAUAGGAAAACUGAGGCUCAGAGAGUUUAAAUGAUUUAGGCUUAUCUUCCUGCUGCAAUCUCACUCCAUUUAUUAAAUACUUAUAUGAUUUAUACCUAUGAAAAGAAUAAUGAUAAAUUAUGUUUGUUUUGUUAUCUAAACCAGCACUUGCUAUUACUCAUUUUCAAAUGAGGACCCUAAAAAUGAGAAAUACAAAUAUUUGGUUUUGCCUACCUUGUCAGUUGCAAUGCAAAAUCAUGUUAGUCUACACUGGCAGUGAUGGCGAACCUUUUGAGCUCGGCCAGUCAGCAUUUUGAAAAACACUAACUUAACUUUGGUGCCGUGUCACAUACAGAAAUUUUUUGAUAUUUGCGACCAUAGUAAAACAAAGAUUUAUAUUUUUGAUAUUUAUUUUAUAUAUUUAAAUGCCAUUUAACAAAGAAAAAUCAACCAAAAAAAUGAGUUCGCAUGUCACCUCUGACACGCGUGUCAUAGGUUCGCCAUCACUGGUCUACAGUAUAACUGCUGGUAAUUCUUGUUGGCUCAUCUCUUACUCUGCUGCCUUCAUUGUUUAAGUGCUUUCUAAAAUUAGUUCCUCCUCAUUUUCCAAAUUCUAUCCACAAAAUAACAGGAAACAAGUUAUUUCCAGAAAGGUAAAUGGAUUUCCUUGCUUACAGUUUUACCACAGUAUAAAAUAAGCCUUUUAGAAUUAGCCCUUUCUGAAAGGGAUGUUUUUUUAAUGUGGCUUUUAAUAUAUCAAAAUUUUAAUAAUGAUUGUAGUUGGUAGUUAGGACUUGAGGUACUUAUUUUCACUAUUGAUAUUAGAUUGAACAAUCUGAAACUGUCAAAUAUUGUUUAGUCUAAAUUUUCUAAAGAGGAUAUAUUCAUGUGGAAGAUGUCACAGGUAGGGCUGACUCCAGGCACAGUAUUUCUGGGCUCUGGCUUCUUUUCUCCAUGAUCCCCUUGGUUCUGCCCAUUUUCAUGUGUUGGCUUCAUGGUAUUUAAGUUACAUGUAUUAUGACAACUUUUAAUUUGUUAUUGUUACUCAUUUUUAGGCUGACAGUAAGAUGAUGCCAGCAGUUCCUAUAAUGACAUUCAGAAUGCUAGCUUUCCCUAGAAGUUAGGCACUAGCUCUCUUGUAACUAUUUCUUAGAAAUGAGAAAAAUUUCCCUAGAAACUCUUAACAGAAUUGUUUUCUGGAAGUGACUUGCUGCUUGUUAUUUGUUUUUGUUUUUUAUAUCAUUGGUCAUGUAAUCAUUUCUAAACUAAGCCUGGGCAGUCCUAGCCGGUUUGGCUUAGUGGAUAGAAUGUCAGCCUGUGAGCUAAAGGGUCCCGGGUUAGAUUCUGGUCGAGGGCAGAUGCCCAGGUUGUGGGCUCUAUCCCCAGUAGGGGGCAUGCAAGAGGCAGCUGAUCAUUGAUUCUCAUCAUUGAUGUUUCUCUCUUUCUCUCUCUCCCUUCCUCUCUGAAAUCAAUAAAAAUAUAUUAAAAAUAAAAUAACCCAGGGAGGGGGGAAAAUCAAAGUGCCAUGAUUAGAUCAGAAUUGUCUUUGGGGAUUGAUUGGAUAUUAAAGAGUUAACCACCAUUACCACUAUAUCUAGUAAUUUAAGCAUUGAGGUUAAUACAGUCUAAUAGGGAAAAUUGGUAGGUAUGUGGAAAAAAUUAACUUGAGCAGCUUGGUUACCUUCCCUUGAAUUUGCAAUUGAUAUUCUAAUUUUAUAUAUUAAAGGCAUUUUGUUUAGUUAUGGAAACAUUUUACACAAAAGAAUUAUAAAACUAAAAAACAAAUAACAAUUAUUUAACUAUUAUGUAGAAUGCUUCAGCCUUCUUAGAAAUUUUGAUGAGGAAUCUAAGAACAUAUUCUGAUUAAAAACUACUUGCAUUUUCCUCAAGUGAAACAAUAUAUUUUAUAUAUUUAACAUAAUUUAAAAAUAUUGGGAACAAAUACUCAUAACCAAUAUCAAAAAUGCAAUUUAAAACAGUGCUUUACAACACAAAACAACAAAUGGGAACAAUACCUUCUUGCUAUUUUGUUUGAUUUCUACCAAACAGCAAAAUUAUUAUUAUUUUAUAAUCUACACUAAAGGGAAUUUUGACAAUUCUAGCAACUUCUAAAAGCUAGUAAUUCUAUUACUUCAAGGCUAUUCUAAUAAUUUUUGCCAAGUUUGUAAUUUUUAAAGUUCUUAAAUUUUCUUUUCAGCUACUUCUAUUCUGCAUCAUUAAGUUUAAUAUUGUAUUGUAUGUGUUCACUACAUUUGUAGGCAGUGUUACUUGACCACAAAAUAUUUUCUGUUUUUUAACAUCAGCAUAUCACAAUCAGAAGGCAGAUUCAAGUGUUUAUCCAGAAAGCCUCAUUAAAAAGAUUUUAUUUAAAGUUGUCAAUUGGGCCCUAGCUGGUUUGGCUCAGUGGAUAUAGCGUUGGUGUGCCGACUGACGGUUCGGUUCCAGUCAGGGGCACAUGACCAGGUUGUGGGAUCGAUCCCCAGUGUAAGGCGUGCAGGAGGCAGCCAAUCAGUGAUUCUCUCUCAUCAUUGAUGUUUCUGUCUCUCUCUCUCUCCCUCUUCCUUCCUCUCUGAAAUCAAUAAAAAAUAUAUA
Myotis daubentonii (Daubenton's bat) is the source of this 3729-nucleotide long non-coding RNA. RefSeq lists it as uncharacterized. The transcript has 2 exons. Lineage: Eukaryota; Metazoa; Chordata; Mammalia; Chiroptera; Vespertilionidae. The record is from RefSeq and is a predicted model, not a curated record.